AGCACUGAAUUGCUGUUUCACUCAGCCUUUGUUGCUGGAUUAUUGUUUUUUUUUUUUUUUUUUUUUGUGGGGGGCGUGGAGAGCUUGCCACUCCAAAAUGAUUUCCAUGAAAACAGCAUAGGCUGCUCCUAGAACCAGCUGUGCUGAUAGUAUCUUCAUGACCCCCUGAUCUGCUCAGAUCUCAUAGCUGCUUCAAACUCUGGUUACCCCAUAGACUCUCCUCCAGCCUAAUGCACCACAACCACCUGGGAAGAGAUGUGUGUUAAGAAUCUCCCUGCUCGCUAUCAUGAGAACAGGAUGAAGGCUUCAUUGAGGGUCAGACCAUGUAUCUGCAACCAUUUUGCAGCUAUUUUUUGGCCCCUCACAUACUUCUUUAUCCCAAAUGAAGCCUCUUCACCUCUCAUGAAGGCACAUCAAUCCUCAUUCAGCAGAUAAUUCUGGCAAUUGGCACACUCAUUCCUUUAGGGUACAGUACUUCAGGGACUGAAAGAUUUCAGACAUAAUAAAAAAAUGCAAUCCAGAUGAUAGAAGGUGAACCCCUGUUUAUCCUCUCUCUUCUUGGCAUCGGUGCUUGCUGGAUCUUGGUAUGGUGGUGUGAGUUCGGAGACUGGAGUAGUGAGAGCGACAAUUCAAUGGAGUAAACCUAAUUUAACUGCUCUUACUAAUACUGAGAUUAACUGUCUUUUUGAAAUUCCUCAGCCUGAUAGUCUAAAUAUAAGGAACCGGAUUAUUGAGGUCACAAUGGGACCUGUAGAAAAUCCAGACACAGUUGCAAGAAACACCCACAGAUGUUCUCUAUCUUUUGCCGCGUCUACCAUUUGGGGUGUUUUAUGUCCCCAAGAUUUCCCUUCACCAGGCCAAACAAGACGUAACUGGUUUAUAGAAGAGGAAAAAGGAAUAAUACAGAAAAAAGUAGUUCAGUCAGGACAAUGGCAGUGUAUGUUAAGAGAUGGUUCUGGGAUAGUUGCCUGCUCCACUAGUCUCCUGGUUGUCACAGUUAAGCCAACCACUACUACUCUUAUACUCAUAUGGAAAAAUCUGAGCAAAAUUUAUAUUCUUGGUGGAAAAUGGUCAAUUUUACAUGUAGUGUGCAGCAAAAUGAAAUGUUUUAUGCUCAAAUAGAAUGGCUAUCCCCUAUUAUGGGAUUGGGAUUAAAUGUCAAUAAUAGUGUAAUGCAACCAAGGGAAGACAAAUUAUGGGCCAUAAAUCAAACCACCGUAUGGAAAACAGUAGAAUUUAAAACUUGUAUGGAAGAACAUGGAAUUGGAUAUAUUUGUAAUAAUGUUAUACAAUCUUAUGAUAUCUGUUUAAAUCCAGAAAAAAGGAAAAUGCCAUAUCAACUAAAUCCAUUUCCAGAUACUGGAUCCGUGGUUGUGCAUAUAGGAAAUACAAGUGUAUGUAUUAGAAGUUGAUGCAGAACAGUUUAAUGUUAAUUACUUGUUUAAUAUAAGCCAUAAUCCUUAUGAAAAUCAAUGUUUAUGUAAUAAAGUUUCAGUGAUUGGAUGUGAUUUUAACUUUACAUUACCUGAAGUUUAAUAUAAGAAAGUUAAGGACCAAAUGUAUAAAAGUGUCAACCCUGUGCUACUGAGUAUGAAUAUCAGUUUAGUUAAACAAUUGCUAAACUAUUCUGAUUUGCAAGGAUACUUGCAAAAGGCUCAGGAAAAUGCAUGUAAAACUAUGAUCACUGUACAUCACUCAACUGAUGAAAUUAAACAAAUUGUGGAACAAGUAAAAAGAUACAAAACACAACUGGUGAGAGGUAUUUUUGGGAUGGUCAUCUACUGCCACAGGAAUUUUAAAUAGACUGCUGCACCCUAUUGUAUAGAUAACUGGAACAUAUUGUUUGUUUAAUAUCUGUAAUAAUAAUAAUAUGUUGGACCAGGAAAAUGUUAUUUAAAUUACAAUUUGCCCAGAGAGGAUUAGAAAUUGAAAACAGUCUGUUAAAAGUUCUAAAAUCGGUUCAGGAAAAGUUGGAAA
Molecule: long non-coding RNA, 1977 nt
Organism: Dermochelys coriacea (leatherback sea turtle)
Lineage: Eukaryota; Metazoa; Chordata; Testudines; Dermochelyidae
Exons: 3
Source: RefSeq, a predicted model, not a curated record